This 445-nucleotide ribosomal RNA is filed under the name uncultured bacterium. Its description in RNAcentral is "partial 16S ribosomal RNA". It matches the Rfam family "Bacterial small subunit ribosomal RNA", at positions 354 to 796 of the family's 1533-position model. The record is from RNAcentral.
GUGAGGAAUAUUGGUCAAUGGGCGCAAGCCUGAACCAGCCAUGCCGCGUGCAGGAAGACGGUCCUAUGGAUUGUAAACUGCUUUUAUUUGGGAAUAAACUCCGGUACGUGUACCGGCCUGAAGGUACCAAAUGAAUAAGCACCGGCUAACUCCGUGCCAGCAGCCGCGGUAAUACGGAGGGUGCAAGCGUUAUCCGGAAUCAUUGGGUUUAAAGGGUCCGCAGGCGGUCUUAUAAGUCAGUGGUGAAAGCCUACAGCUCAACUGUAGAACUGCCAUUGAUACUGUAGGACUUGAAUUCGAUCGAAGUGGGCGGAAUGUGACAUGUAGCGGUGAAAUGCUUAGAUAUGUCACAGAACACCGAUGGCGAAGGCAAUCCCCUUGGCCUGCACUGACGCUCAUGCACGAAAGCGUGGGGAGCAAACAGGAUUAGAUACCCGUGUAGUCC